GACGAACGCUGGCGGCGUGCUUAACACAUGCAAGUCGAACGGUGAUGCUCCAGCUUGCUGGAGUGGAUCAGUGGCGAACGGGUGAGUAACACGUGAGCAACCUGCCCCAGACUCUGGAAUAAGCGCUGGAAACGGCGUCUAAUACUGGAUACGAAACUGGCCCGCAUGGGCAUGGUUUGGAAAGUUUUUCGGUUUGGGAUGGGCUCGCGGCCUAUCAGCUUGUUGGUGAGGUAAUGGCUCACCAAGGCGACGACGGGUAGCCGGCCUGAGAGGGCGACCGGCCACACUGGGACUGAGACACGGCCCAGACUCCUACGGGAGGCAGCAGUGGGUAAUAUUGCACAAUGGGCGAAAGCCUGAUGCAGCGACGCCGCGUGAGGGAUGACGGCCUUCGGGUUGUAAACCUCUUUCAGCAGGGAAGAAGCGAAAGUGACGGUACCUGCAGAAGAAGCACCGGCUAACUACGUG
This 468-nucleotide ribosomal RNA is filed under the name uncultured bacterium. RNAcentral describes it as "partial 16S ribosomal RNA". It matches the Rfam family "Bacterial small subunit ribosomal RNA", at positions 28 to 507 of the family's 1533-position model. The record is from RNAcentral.